RNAcentral lists this ribosomal RNA (484 nucleotides) under uncultured bacterium. RNAcentral's name for it is "partial 16S ribosomal RNA". It matches the Rfam family "Bacterial small subunit ribosomal RNA", at positions 30 to 507 of the family's 1533-position model. The record is from RNAcentral.
AUUGAACGCUGGCGGAAUGCUUUACACAUGCAAGUCGAACGGCAGCACGGGGGCAGCCCUGGUGGCGAGUGGCGAACGGGUGAGUAAUACAUCGGAACGUGCCCGGUCGUGGGGGAUAACGUAGCGAAAGUUACGCUAAUACCGCAUACGAUCUGAGGAUGAAAGCGGGGGACCUUCGGGCCUCGCGCGAUCGGAGCGGCCGAUGUCAGAUUAGGUAGUUGGUGGGGUAAAGGCCUACCAAGCCGACGAUCUGUAGCUGGUCUGAGAGGACGACCAGCCACACUGGGACUGAGACACGGCCCAGACUCCUACGGGAGGCAGCAGUGGGGAAUUUUGGACAAUGGGCGCAAGCCUGAUCCAGCCAUUCCGCGUGCAGGACGAAGGCCUUCGGGUUGUAGACUGCUUUUGUACGGAACGAAAAGGCUCUGGCUAAUACCUGGGGCUCAUGACGGUACCGUAAGAAUAAGCACCGGCUAACUACGUG